ACGCUGGCGGCAGGCCUACACAUGCAAGUCGAGCGGUAACAUUUCUAGCUUGCUAGAAGAUGACGAGCGGCGGACGGGUGAGUAAUGCUUGGGAACAUGCCUUUAGGUGGGGGACAACCAUUGGAAACGAUGGCUAAUACCGCAUAAUGUCUACGGACCAAAGGGGGCUUCGGCUCUCGCCUUUAGAUUGGCCCAAGUGGGAUUAGCUAGUUGGUGAGGUAAUGGCUCACCAAGGCGACGAUCCCUAGCUGGUUUGAGAGGAUGAUCAGCCACACUGGAACUGAGACACGGUCCAGACUCCUACGGGAGGCAGCAGUGGGGAAUAUUGCACAAUGGGCGCAAGCCUGAUGCAGCCAUGCCGCGUGUGUGAAGAAGGCCUUCGGGUUGUAAAGCACUUUCAGUUGUGAGGAAAGGUUAGUAGUUAAURCCUGCUAGCUGUGACGUUAGCAACAGAAGAAGCACCGGCUAACUCCGUGCCAGCAGCCGCGGUAAUAGCGGAGGGUGCGAGCGUUAAUCGGAAUUACUGGGCGUAAAGCGUACGCAGGCGGUUUGUUAAGCGAGAUGUGAAAGCCCCGGGCUCCAACCUGGGAACUGCAUUUCGAACUGGCAAUUC
Molecule: ribosomal RNA, 613 nt
Filed under: Pseudoalteromonas sp. K3-12
Lineage: Bacteria; Pseudomonadati; Pseudomonadota; Gammaproteobacteria; Alteromonadales; Pseudoalteromonadaceae
Description: bacterial SSU rRNA
Rfam family: Bacterial small subunit ribosomal RNA
Source: RNAcentral